AGAUUGAACGCUGGCGGCAGGCCUAACACAUGCAAGUCGAGCGGUAGAGAGGUGCUUGCACCUCUUGAGAGCGGCGGACGGGUGAGUAAAGCCUAGGAAUCUGCCUGGUAGUGGGGGAUAACGCUCGGAAACGGACGCUAAUACCGCAUACGUCCUACGGGAGAAAGCAGGGGACCUUCGGGCCUUGCGCUAUCAGAUGAGCCUAGGUCGGAUUAGCUAGUUGGUGAGGUAAUGGCUCACCAAGGCGACGAUCCGUAACUGGUCUGAGAGGAUGAUCAGUCACACUGGAACUGAGACACGGUCCAGACUCCUACGGGAGCAGCAGUGGGAA
This 331-nucleotide ribosomal RNA is filed under the name uncultured soil bacterium. RNAcentral describes it as "bacterial SSU rRNA". It matches the Rfam family "Bacterial small subunit ribosomal RNA", at positions 26 to 360 of the family's 1533-position model. The record is from RNAcentral.